This 471-nucleotide ribosomal RNA is filed under the name uncultured bacterium. Its description in RNAcentral is "SSU rRNA". It matches the Rfam family "Bacterial small subunit ribosomal RNA", at positions 26 to 518 of the family's 1533-position model. The record is from RNAcentral.
AGAUUGAACGCUGGCGGUAUGCUUAACACAUGCAAGUCGAACGGCAGCACAGUUAGUAGCAAUACUAAUGGGUGGCGAGUGGCGGACGGGUGAGUAACACGUAGGAAUCUACCCUAUAGCGGGGGACAACUAGAGGAAACUCUAGCUAAUACCGCAUAAUCUCGCAAGAGUAAAGCUGGGGCAACCUGGCACUAUAGGAGGAGCCUGCGUCUGAUUAGCUAGUUGGUGGGGUAAAGGCCCACCAAGGCGACGAUCAGUAGCUGGUCUGAGAGGACGGCCAGCCACACUGGGACUGAGACACGGCCCAGACUCCUACGGGAGGCAGCAGUUAGGGAAUUUUGACAAUGGGCGCAAGCCUGAUCGAGUGACGCCGCGUGCGGGAGGACGCCUUCGGGUGUAAACCGCUUUCCCUGGGACGAGCGAGGACGGUACCAGGGAAUAAGCCUCGGCUAACUACGUGCCAGCAGCCGC